GUCAAGCACAACAAGAGACUCCCUGAGUUUAAACAAGGAUAGCCAAUGUCUAGACGGGGAGUGUGCUAACCUAUUUAGGAGGUUUACUUCUCCAAAUACCUCACUUGUGAUAUCAUAUGAUAUAAUCAGAUUACAAGACCCACCAUCCAUAGUAGCUAACCAAUAUAUAACACCAUCUAUAGAUAUUGAACAAAAACCAUCUGGCUGAUCAAAUUGAAAGCUGACCCAUUUACGAGGGAGAUUGCCACCUAGCCGUCUCCAAGCCCCUGUGCUCAAUGUAAAAACUUCAACUUGCCAAGGGAUGCAACUUGCAGUUUUCAUAUCGCCCCAACUAACAAUAUGUGUGAUCUUCACAAUCUUAGGGUCAUUAGUCCCACGACAAACCCCAAAACCUAAAACGGUUGCAUAUGUUUCCCCAUUUGCCACACUAGGCACAACAAGUUCAACCGUUUUUCUAAUAGUUGGAUUCCAAAGAGCAGCUUUGCCCAGUCCGUUAACAGGAAACUCACGGCCAAUUAGAAAGAGGGAAAACAAUCCGUGAGAGCAGCCUAUUAUAGAAUAAUACCCAUGAUCUUGAACCCGCGGAGGAGUAAUGGAAACUAUACUUCUGGGGAAAGUAUCGUCAUCAACAACCAAAACAAGAAGUACACAAGGACGUAUAUGUGGCACCAAUCAGCUUGCGCCGACCACUGCUCCAUGAUCUCCACUUAACUGCUGAUGAUAGACCAGACAAUGACAACCGUCAGGGCACGUGGAUCUAUUUAGCAUGCGCCAAGUACCCUCUCGCCUGGAAUCACUAACGGUCGUCACAGAGGAGGCAGGAUGGAUAUUCCUUGUUGUCGAUCUCAGGCCCGUCAGCCCAUCUCCUUCACAAUUCACCUCGUCUAUAAAUAAAGAACUUCACCUCCAGGUUUACGGAUCACACUUUUGCUCUCUCACUUAAUACACACACUUUUAUCCUCAAAACAAGUUCUUAUUCUCAUGCCGAAUGGUGGUUACAGGGAGAACUCCCUAUUCUCCUUGUGACGAGCUUCACGGUGUGUUGGUUGUCUUGCAGGAUCAACGUAGCUGUUCCGCAAGUUCGGAAGAAAAUUAACCUUAUUUGGACGAGACACAAACUACAAGCUAAUCUCCGAAUUAACUUGGUGUUUCUUCAUGACGCCCCCCGAUUUUUUACAACCACUUUUUCAUCUUCUUUUCUAAGCUGUUACUCUUGAUCUCAUGGCUGAUCAAGGUAUUCCUUUUCCACCUCUCGGUUCACACUCUCAAAUGGGUGCGGCAGCGGACAACGCACACUUCCAAAACCAGCCCAUUGACGAGUACGCCGAAGGGGAUAUCACAAAGGUUGGAGGCAUGCGCGCAAGCGGUACUCAUACCACCCAAACGGUGACUUCAACAAAUCAAGGCGUUAGCCCUUCAAUACCUGCACUAUCAGGAUUACCAGAGGGAGAGACCCCCCGCGUCAUGGUUUUACGCACAACUGUGCCUGUGCGCGUAAUAAGGGCUAGCACAAGCUCAAACACAACAAACUUCGACAGUGACACCAAUGCCUAGGCAACUGAACUAUGCGACGCCGCACCAAGAGCGCGCGCAGAGGCAACAAUACAGCUAAUCACCAUUACCACGAAGGCAAAGUGCUCACACCACGCGUGACACUUAUGACGAAAACAAUGGUUUCGUCUUAUGUUGGGUUUCGACUUAUGGUAGGUUUGAAAGAAAAGAUGAUUUGAGUUUCACAAAAGUUGGGUGUAAAGGGUAAAAUAUGUAACUGAUAUUAAAAAGAGGAAAUAUGUAAAUAUUCUUUGAAUAAGUUUAUUAAGGGUAAAAUAGUAAUUAAUAAUAGAAUUUUUAAUUAAAAGGGGAAAUAUAUAAUAUAGAUGGUUUAGGAAGGGGAAAUAUGUAAUAUAGAUGGUUUAGAAAGGGGAAAUAUGUAAUUGAUUUUGUGGGUUGGAUAAAUAUGCAAUAAGGGCACUUAGGAAGGGGAAAUAUGUAAAAAAAACCCUAAUAAAUAAAACACGACACGACUUGAAACGAGUCAGGUUGGCCCGCAAGCCAUUUCCUUAUGUUUUCUAUAUAUAAAACUAGGGGUGUUAAUCAUGUCGGGUUGGCACAUAUUAUUAUUCGUGUCAAAGAUUCUUGCCCUGAUCCACACACACAUAAAUACGGGUCAACACGAACACAGCCCGUUUUUUAAAUGAGUCAUGCAUGUUGACGAGUUAUAAGCGGGUUGUUGGGUUGUAAGUGGGUUAUCGAUAACGUGUUUAACGGUGAGUAUGAGUGUGCCAAAUAACAAUAUGGUGUGUCAAAACUAACUUUAUUAUAACUAACCGUGUAAAUGGAAAACAGAAAAAACAAAAACAUAUAAGUUUUUUUUCUAAAUACUUAAACGAGUUAACGGGUCAACCCAAACCCGACCCAUUUUUUAAACGGGGUCGUGUUAGUCAACCCAAACUUGUUUUUUUCAUGUCGGGUUUCGGGUCGUGUCAAGAAUUACCACCCCUAUACAAAACAACGUCACCUAUGACCAUUGUUUGUCACCAUCACCUAUCAGGACAUGUGUUUGACAUGAAUUAACCUUCACCAUACCUUAAAUACAGAAAAUGCCUCCAGGGGUGUUAAUAAUAAUCAUACAAAAAAUCCAAAUAAGUUGGCUGAAGAUCUUAUUAAGUGUUUAAUAAGAAUAUUUCAAGAAAUGAAUCAGUCGUUUCCAGACAGUGAAGAAGCGUCGGAUCUUGUACCGAUACAGAUAUCCUGCGUCUCUAAAACAAGUUCUAAAUGUACAGCACUGCUCGGGUCAAAUUUUGACCCGUAUGCGGUGUUAUUUGAUCUUGAUGGUGCAAUUAGAGACAUUGGUCCAUACAAGACUUUUAUCGAAAUUACACGAAGUACACUCGAUCAUACUCGCAUUUCUGAAUGUUCUAUUGAAGCUGGAGAAGUCAGGAGUUUGAUGCAGAAUCUCUGUAGUGUGAACUUGAACUUGCUGACAUAUAAGCAUGUACUGCGUUUCUCGUUCAUGGGUUACCUUCGACUCAGGAGAAACUACUGCUUCUCAUGAACACGGCGGUAGUUAACGUCGGAGGUGUCGUGGUCAAUGCAUUGGGCAUUGAGAAUUAUAUCCUCCGGAAUCCGUCAAACUCCAAUCCUGGUCUAGCAAAUGAGAGGGAAAUACUACAAUGUGACAUUUGCUCUUUGUAGAGGGAGUUGGCAUAAGCAGGUUCACUCAAAAGGUUGAUAAUGGUGACGCGAAAUUGAAUCCAGCCAAAAUGAUAGAAAUUCGGCCGUAUGUUUAUGAAUUUUGAUACUUGUUGCCUUCAUGAAAAAAAUUAUAGCGACGACGAAAAUGAAAAGGAGAAUUGUUGGUAUGGUGUCAAAAUAAAAUCAUCUUAAGUAUGUACUGAUUAUAUUAUAACUAGGAGGUCAAACUCAUAUGUUUUUAAGAAAACUUUUAAUUGGUUCCGUGUGUAAUUGCACAUAUGUUGAUUACUAAUAAAGUAAUUUAUUAAA
RNA transcript from Helianthus annuus (common sunflower), 3504 nucleotides. RefSeq lists it as uncharacterized. The record is from RefSeq and is a predicted model, not a curated record. NCBI's taxonomy places the organism in Eukaryota, Viridiplantae, Streptophyta, Magnoliopsida, Asterales, Asteraceae. The transcript has 4 exons.